UCCGUAGGGUGAACCUGCGGAAGGAUCAUUACCUAGAGUUGUAGGCUUUGCCUGCUAUCUCUUACCCAUGUCUUUUAAGUACCUUCGUUUCCUCGGCGGGUUCGCCCGCCGAUUGGACAAUUUAAACCAUUUGCAGUUGCAAUCAGCGUCUGAAAAAACUUAAUAGUUACAACUUUCAACAACGGAUCUCUUGGUUCUGGCAUCGAUGAAGAACGCAGCGAAAUGCGAUAAGUAGUGUGAAUUGCAGAAUUCAGUGAAUCAUCGAAUCUUUGAACGCACAUUGCGCCCCUUGGUAUUCCAUGGGGCAUGCCUGUUCGAGCGUCAUUUGUACCUUCAAGCUCUGCUUGGUGUUGGGUGUUUGUCUCGCCUCUGCGUGUAGACUCGCCUCAAAACAAUUGGCAGCCGGCGUAUUGAUUUCGGAGCGCAGUACAUCUCGCGCUUUGCACUCACAACGACGACGUCCAAAAGUACAUUUUUACACUCUUGACCUCGGAUCAGGUAGGGAUACCCGCUGAACUUAAGCAUAUCAAUAAGCGGAGG
This 540-nucleotide ribosomal RNA is filed under the name Didymella glomerata. Its description in RNAcentral is "eukaryotic LSU rRNA". The stretch from base 171 to 324 matches the Rfam family "5.8S ribosomal RNA". The record is from RNAcentral. Lineage: Eukaryota; Fungi; Ascomycota; Dothideomycetes; Pleosporales; Didymellaceae.